ACGUUAAACGUCUGACUGAGUGAAAUCGCGUAAGGUAGAAAACUCAGCGCGGCCGAGCCUUGCAAAUGCCUGAAGCCUCGACUGUAGGAGUCAGAGCAAAGCCGCGGCGGGCCGGUUGCCGUUAGCUGGAGUUGAAUUCACCCUAGCAUUCAUCACCAACUGAUAGAAUACAAAUUUCUGUGUUUAUUACCUGCUUGGCCCUUGGAAUGUGAAAAAGACUAAGCGCUGACUAAUGAACAAAGCCUCAUGAUAGCUGAGUAAUGCCUAGUGGUUAAUAUUUGAUGGUAUGUGGCGAGAAUCCACUGCUACUUAAUCAAGAGGAAUUGAGAUGGACUUAUCCACCCAGCGCAGACACUGUCUUGAAGGACAUUGGGAAUGAGAAGGGCUCAAGCAGAUUUUACUGUCAUACCCACAGGAUGCCAGCCAUUGAUCUUUCCUCCUUUGUGAACACUGAUUUACGUGGCAGAUUGCGUGAUGCCAGGAUGUUUGUGAUGGUGUAGGAUCCAGUGACCCUUGAGGAUGUGGCUGUGGAAUUCACCCAGGAGGAGUGGACUUUGCUGGAUCCAAUCAGAGAAACCUGUACAGAGAUGAGAUGCUGGAGAACCACAAGAAUCUGGUUGCA
This is a long non-coding RNA of Hyaena hyaena (striped hyena), 622 nucleotides long. RefSeq lists it as uncharacterized. The record is from RefSeq and is a predicted model, not a curated record. Lineage: Eukaryota; Metazoa; Chordata; Mammalia; Carnivora; Hyaenidae. The transcript is spliced from 4 exons.